Molecule: ribosomal RNA, 253 nt
Filed under: uncultured bacterium
Lineage: Bacteria
Description: partial 16S ribosomal RNA
Rfam family: Bacterial small subunit ribosomal RNA
Source: RNAcentral
UACGUAGGGAGCAAGCGUUGUCCGGAAUCAUUGGGCGUAAAGCGCGCGUAGGUGGCCCCAUAAGUCCGCUGUGAAAGUCAAAGGCUCAACCUUUGAAAGCCGGUGGAUACUGUGGGACUAGAGUACGGAAGAGGCGAGUGGAAUUCCCGGUGUAGCGGUGAAAUGCGCAGAUAUCGGGAGGAACACCAAUGGCGAAGGCAGCUCGCUGGGACGUGACUGACGCUGAGACGCGAAAGCGUGGGGAGCAAACAGG